Molecule: ribosomal RNA, 569 nt
Filed under: uncultured bacterium
Lineage: Bacteria
Description: partial 16S ribosomal RNA
Rfam family: Bacterial small subunit ribosomal RNA
Source: RNAcentral
UGGGGAAUAUUGCACAAUGGGCGGAAGCCUGAUGCAGCAACGCCGCGUGCGGGAUGACGGCCUUCGGGUUGUAAACCGCUUUCGCCUGUGACGAAGCGUGAGUGACGGUAAUGGGUAAAGAAGCACCGGCUAACUACGUGCCAGCAGCCGCGGUGAUACGUAGGGUGCGAGCGUUGUCCGGAUUUAUUGGGCGUAAAGGGCUCGCAGGUGGUUGAUCGCGUCGGAAGUGUAAUCUUGGGGCUUAACCCUGAGCGUGCUUUCGAUACGGGUUGACUUGAGGAAGGUAGGGGAGGAUGGAAUUCCUGGUGGAGCGGUGGAAUGCGCAGAUAUCAGGAGGAACACCAGUGGCGAAGGCGGUUCUCUGGGCCUUUCCUGACGCUGAGGAGCGGAAGCGUGGGGAGCGAACAGGCUUAGAUACCCUGGUAGUCCACGCUGUAAAGCGGUGGGUACUAGGUGUGGGGGUCCAUUCCACGGGUUCCGCGCCGUAGCUAACGCUUUAAGUACCCCGCCUGGGGAGUACGGCCGCAAGGCUAAAACUCAAAUGAAUUGACGGGGUCAUAGCUGUUUCC